GAUGAACGCUAGCUACAGGCUUAACACAUGCAAGUCGAGGGGAAACGGCAUUGAGUGCUUGCACUCUUUGGACGUCGACCGGCGCACGGGUGAGUAACGCGUAUCCAACCUUCCCAUUACCGUGGGAUAACCUGCCGAAAGGCAGACUAAUACCGCAUAGUCUUCGAUGACGGCAUCAGAUUUGAAGUAAAGAUUUAUCGGUAAUGGAUGGGGAUGCGUCUGAUCAGCUUGUUGGCGGGGUAACGGCCCACCAAGGCAACGAUCAGUAGGGGUUCUGAGAGGAAGGUCCCCCACAUUGGAACUGAGACACGGUCCAAACUCCUACGGGAGGCAGCAGUGAGGAAUAUUGGUCAAUGGGCGAGAGCCUGAACCAGCCAAGUAGCGUGCAGGAUGACGGCCCUAUGGGUUGUAAACUGCUUUUGUAUGGGGAUAAAGUCAAUCACGUGUGA
Molecule: ribosomal RNA, 449 nt
Filed under: Prevotella sp. oral taxon 314
Lineage: Bacteria; Pseudomonadati; Bacteroidota; Bacteroidia; Bacteroidales; Prevotellaceae
Description: bacterial SSU rRNA
Rfam family: Bacterial small subunit ribosomal RNA
Source: RNAcentral